Molecule: ribosomal RNA, 441 nt
Filed under: uncultured bacterium
Lineage: Bacteria
Description: bacterial SSU rRNA
Rfam family: Bacterial small subunit ribosomal RNA
Source: RNAcentral
AACGCGAAGAACCUUACCUGGCCUUGACAUCUACGGAAUUCUGCAGAGAUGCGGAAGUGCCUUCGGGAACCGUAAGACAGGUGCUGCAUGGCUGUCGUCAGCUCGUGUCGUGAGAUGUUGGGUUAAGUCCCGCAACGAGCGCAACCCUUAUCCCUAGUUGCCAUCGGGUCAAGCCGGGCACUCUAGUGAAACCGCCCAGGAUAACUGGGAGGAAGGUGGGGAUGACGUCAAGUCCUCAUGGCCUUUAUGUCCAGGGCUACACACGUGCUACAAUGGUCGGUACAAACCGUCGCAAACCCGCGAGGGGGAGCUAAUCGGAAAAAGCCGGCCUCAGUUCGGAUUGGAGUCUGCAACCCGACUCCAUGAAGCUGGAAUCGCUAGUAAUCGCGGAUCAGAACGCCGCGGUGAAUACGUUCCCGGGCCUUGUACACACCGCUAGUC